Molecule: ribosomal RNA, 573 nt
Filed under: Shigella sonnei
Lineage: Bacteria; Pseudomonadati; Pseudomonadota; Gammaproteobacteria; Enterobacterales; Enterobacteriaceae
Description: partial 23S ribosomal RNA
Rfam family: Bacterial large subunit ribosomal RNA
Source: RNAcentral
CUGGAAAGGCGCGCGAUACAGGGUGACAGCCCCGUACACAAAAAUGCACAUAUUGUGAGCUCGAUGAGUAGGGCGGGACACGUGGUAUCCUGUCUGAAUAUGGGGGGCCCAUCCUCCAAGGCUAAAUACUCCUGACUGACCGAUAGUGAACCAGUACCGUGAGGGAAAGGCGAAAAGAACCCCGGCGAGGGGAGUGAAAAAGAACCUGAAACCGUGUACGUACAAGCAGUGGGAGCACGCUUAGGCGUGUGACUGCGUACCUUUUGUAUAAUGGGUCAGCGACUUAUAUUCUGUAGCAAGGUUAACCGAAUAGGGGAGCCGAAGGGAAACCGAGUCUUAACUGGGCGUUAAGUUGCAGGGUAUAGACCCGAAACCCGGUGAUCUAGCCAUGGGCAGGUUGAAGGUUGGGUAACACUAACUGGAGGACCGAACCGACUAAUGUUGAAAAAUUAGCGGAUGACUUGUGGCUGGGGGUGAAAGGCCAAUCAAACCGGGAGAUAGCUGGUUCUCCCCGAAAGCUAUUUAGGUAGCGCCUCGUGAAUUCAUCUCCGGGGGUAGAGCACUGUUUCGGCA